CCAAUUGAUAGUCGAGUCAGUGACACAGAGACGGGCCAAUAGUAAAGUGGCCGUAUCCCUUUCGCUUUUGAUUCUAUCUUUAAGGGCUUGGGACUCUUGUAUUUUGUUCGUCCAAUUUCGAAACAAGACAAAAGGAGGGUUCGAAUCAAAAUGAUCAAGUCAUUUGAAAAGAAUGUGCCCCGAAUGUAUAAAAAAAAAAAGAAAAAAAAGAAGUCAAGAUUUCAUUUUCCUCCGCUUCUAUACCUGUUCUAAACAAAUGCGGAAAAAAAGGGGGGCUUGUUCCAGUUAAAAAACAUGUGCACUUUUCAAAAUGAAAAAAGUUCCCACUGGUAAAAACUGUGAGGCCUGCAUUUGUGCUUGGACCUUAUCAAAAUAUAUCUCGCCGUGUUCUCCCUCUCUUUUGGUGAGUGCGGAUGUUUUAGUUUUUUUGUUCCUGAACAAGGGAGGGGGUCCGUGUUCUGUGUGUACGUUGUUAAACCAUCAACUGAUGUACUUGUACGAUGUACACUGGACUGAAACACAGGGGAAACUUUCAAGCGAGGGUGAAAUAAAAAGGAAGGGAGAGUUGGCCCAGUCUCCCUAGAAACACACCGGCCGGAAAUGGCCGCAGCACAUCUGCACCCUCCCCCCUCUCUCUUUUUCUACUAACAACAAAGACCGAAAGAGAAAUGGUUGGGAAGCCAAAAAGACAGGAUCUAUUCAGCCGGUGGUAAAGGAAUCUUUCAAAUAUACCCCCCCAUUUUUUAAAAUUUCAUCAACAUCUUAUAAUGAAAUACAAAUAAGUUGUGGAAGUUGACAAAGGAAGCGAAGGAUUCAGUAACUGGAUGACAUUUCAGAUUGGCAGCGAGAUUGACGCACGACUCGGCAGUCGGAUCUAACGUUACAAGUCACUUAUAGACUAGCAGAGAUUUCGCAACAAAAAACAAAACACCCAACCUAAACAUAAAGAAGUUUUGUUCCUCAUUGCGACAUUGGAAUCAGCAACACGAAAUAUGAAUCCGGAACAAAGAUCAUUCCCGUGGAAUUCGAGCGUCCAAAAAUAACUAAACCAACAACAAAGUUGGUUCCGCGUACGUUUUCGGGACUUGUGACGCAACAGAGAGAACAAAAGAAAUGGACUGUUUUUCUUUUCUUAUUGAAAUUAAUGGCGACGGUAAAGGACGAUGCGUUUCACGUUUGAAAGAAAAAGGGGGAAAACAAAAUUUUGAUUUCUUCAAGUUGUUAGAUGAAAAUGUGGAUCAGUCACGGACCGAACGAAUGUUCGUGCGCCCGGAGGAAGCAAAAAAUUCACCUGUGAGUCGAUGCGGAUGUCAUGACGCGCGUUCCGUCUUUCAAAUGUCGAAUCUUGAUCGUCCAAGCAAAUAAUAAUUCAACGAAAGGCUGCAAUCUAAUAUCCGAGCACGAUUUGAGCCGUCUUGAACUCGUCACACAAAUUUCGUUGGCUGGCCAAUGAAACGACACGCUUCGAACGCAGCCAAAACAAAGUCACCGUCUCGACACUGACGUGUAUGUCAAAACACUGGGGUCCUUUUAAUUGAUGUAUAAUAAAGGAGAAAAGAAGAAUAAUUAGUGAUGAAUCAAUGAACUCACUCACUGACAAAGUCACGCUCUACUGGAGGAGGAAAACAAGAAGUCACGCGGAGAGCAGGCGGAUGCGUGUCGAGCAAGGAGAAUCGCUCGAAACGAACUGGUAGCCGUUCACGUGUCGACAGACGAUCUCUAUACUUGGGGGGGCUUCCUCCUGCCAUCUACCCCCUUUGUUUUUGGCUCGAUGUUUACUAUACUACGCUUCUUGCAAUAAGCAGACUUGACAGUCAUCCGACAGAGCCAUCUAGCGACGAAAUGUCGAACCACAAUGGAAGACGGUUGAAAUAAUAAUAAAUAACAAAUGAAGUUGACGAAAGAAAGAAAUUCAAAACCACAAAGUCUUUCUAGUGAUGAGAGAGAAAGACGAUUGAAGCGCGAUGGGAAAAGAAAAGAAAAACGAGGCAACACAUUUCUUCGAAGCCUCGUUAUAACAGCGUCAAAGCGGUUGACUAGGAAAGAAGGACGAACAAAAUAAAAUAUAUUGAAAGAAACAAUGGACUUUCUCUUCGACAAUUCACGAAAAUCGCGAACUUCAUUGUUGUGUCACAUAAAAAUCCGUCACCCUUCAAAUAGGCAAAAUGGAGGUCGUUUUCCACGAACGACAAGAGAAAGAAGAAGCCAACGACGACCUACAGAUUUCCGAUUGUGUUUUCCUUCAUUCGAUAUGGCAUGGCAAAUGAAGGGCAGAACAAGAGAGGGUCGUGCCGACUCGCCACCUACGCCGGAACUGAGACAAUCAAUGAAAAAUGGGGACAUUGUCGGAUGGUAUUAACUCCUUUGAUCACCAACCCCAUUCGCCCCGUUAGGCGGCAAAGACAAAUCGAUCAAAUUAGCACAAAGAACCAGGAGGUCUAAACAACCAACGCCGGUCACCGUGUCCGUUUCCCUUUCACGAUUUUCUUUUCUAUUUGCUGAAAGAAAAAAAAAUAUAAUAAAUAAAAUGUCCAGUUCCUUUCA
Daphnia magna is the source of this 2544-nucleotide long non-coding RNA. RefSeq lists it as uncharacterized. Lineage: Eukaryota; Metazoa; Arthropoda; Branchiopoda; Diplostraca; Daphniidae. The transcript has 6 exons. The record is from RefSeq and is a predicted model, not a curated record.